This 447-nucleotide ribosomal RNA is filed under the name uncultured Anaerolineaceae bacterium. RNAcentral describes it as "bacterial SSU rRNA". It matches the Rfam family "Bacterial small subunit ribosomal RNA", at positions 924 to 1382 of the family's 1533-position model. Lineage: Bacteria; Bacillati; Chloroflexota; Anaerolineae; Anaerolineales; Anaerolineaceae. The record is from RNAcentral.
CACAAGCAGUGGAGUAUGUGGUUUAAUUCGAUGUUACACGAAGAACCUUACCUGGGUUUGACAUGUACGUGGUAGGGAAGCGAAAGCGGACCGACCCUUCGGGGAGCGUACACAGGUGCUGCAUGGCUGUCGUCAGCUCGUGCCGUGAGGUGUCGGGUUAAGUCCCGUAACGAGCGCAACCCCUGUCCUUAGUUACAAGUGUCUAAGGGGACUGCCGGCGGUAAGCCGGAGGAAGGUGGGGAUGACGUCAAGUCAGCAUGGCCCUUAUGUCCAGGGCUACACACACGCUACAAUGGCCAGUACAACGGGCAGCGAAACCGCGAGGUGGAGCGAAUCUCAGCAAAGCUGGUCAUAGUUCGGAUUGCAGGCUGCAACUCGCCUGCAUGAAGCUGGAGUUGCUAGUAACCGCGCGUCAGCUAUAGUGCGGUGAAUACGUUCCCGGGGCUU